RNAcentral lists this ribosomal RNA (491 nucleotides) under uncultured bacterium. Its description in RNAcentral is "partial 16S ribosomal RNA". It matches the Rfam family "Bacterial small subunit ribosomal RNA", at positions 28 to 507 of the family's 1533-position model. The record is from RNAcentral.
GAUGAACGCUAGCUACAGGCUUAACACAUGCAAGUCGCGGGGCAGCAUGGGGGUUGCUUGCAACCCCUGAUGGCGACCGGCGCACGGGUGAGUAACGCGUAUCCAACCUGCCCUUCACCAAGGGAUAACCCGGCGAAAGUCGGACUAAUACCGUAUGUUGUCCAUUUGCGGCAGCCGAUUUGGACGAAGGGCUUGGCGGUGAACGCGUGGGGAUGCGUGCGAUUGGCUUGACGGCGGGGGAACGGCCCACCGUGGCUACGAUCCGUAGGGGUUCUGAGGGGAAGGGCCCCCACGGGGGAACGGAGACACGGGCCAGGCUCCUACGCGAGGCAGCAGACGGGAAGAAUGAGCGAUGGGCGUAAGCCUGAACCAGCCAAGUAGCGUGCAGGAUGACGGCCCGAUGAGUUGUAAACUGCUUUUAUGCGGGGAUAACGUGGCCGACGUGUGGGCUUUUGCAGGUACCGGAUGAAUAAGGACCGGCUAAUUCCGUG